UACGAGGGGGGGCGAGCGUUGUUCGGAAUUAUUGGGCGUAAAGGGUGCGUAGGCGGUUUGGUAAGUCUCGUGUGAAAUCUCCGGGCUCAACUCGGAGCCUGCACGAGAAACUGCCGGGCUUGAGUGUGGGAGAGGUGAGUGGAAUUCCUGGUGUAGCGGUGAAAUGCGUAGAUAUCAGGAGGAACACCUGUGGCGAAAGCGGCUCACUGGACCAUAACUGACGCUGAUGCACGAAAGCUAGGGGAGCAAACAGG
RNAcentral lists this ribosomal RNA (254 nucleotides) under uncultured bacterium. RNAcentral describes it as "partial 16S ribosomal RNA". It matches the Rfam family "Bacterial small subunit ribosomal RNA", at positions 524 to 776 of the family's 1533-position model. The record is from RNAcentral.